AGAGUUUGAUCCUGGCUCAGGAUGAACGCUGGCGGCGUGCCUAAUACAUGCAAGUCGAGCGAACGGACGAGAAGCUUGCUUCUCUGAUGUUAGCGGCGGACGGGUGAGUAACACGUGGAUAACCUACCUAUAAGACUGGGAUAACUUCGGGAAACCGGAGCUAAUACCGGAUAAUAUUUUGAACCGCAUGGUUCAAAAGUGAAAGACGGUCUUGCUGUCACUUAUAGAUGGAUCCGCGCUGCAUUAGCUAGUUGGUAAGGUAACGGCUUACCAAGGCAACGAUGCAUAGCCGACCUGAGAGGGUGAUCGGCCACACUGGAACUGAGACACGGUCCAGACUCCUACGGGAGGCAGCAGUAGGGAAUCUUCCGCAAUGGGCGAAAGCCUGACGGAGCAACGCCGCGUGAGUGAUGAAGGUCUUCGGAUCGUAAAACUCUGUUAUUAGGGAAGAACAUAUGUGUAAGUAACUGUGCACAUCUUGACGGUACCUAAUCAGAAAGCCACGGCUAACUACGUGCCAGCAGCCGCGGUAAUACGUAGGUGGCAAGCGUUAUCCGGAAUUAUUGGGCGUAAAGCGCGCGUAGGCGGUUUUUUAAGUCUGAUGUGAAAGCCCACGGCUCAACCGUGGAGGGUCAUUGGAAACUGGAAAACUUGAGUGCAGAAGAGGAAAGUGGAAUUCCAUGUGUAGCGGUGAAAUGCGCAGAGAUAUGGAGGAACACCAGUGGCGAAGGCGACUUUCUGGUCUGUAACUGACGCUGAUGUGCGAAAGCGUGGGGAUCAAACAGGAUUAGAUACCCUGGUAGUCCACGCCGUAAACGAUGAGUGCUAAGUGUUAGGGGGUUUCCGCCCCUUAGUGCUGCAGCUAACGCAUUAAGCACUCCGCCUGGGGAGUACGACCGCAAGGUUGAAACUCAAAGGAAUUGACGGGGACCCGCACAAGCGGUGGAGCAUGUGGUUUAAUUCGAAGCAACGCGAAGAACCUUACCAAAUCUUGACAUCCUUUGACAACUCUAGAGAUAGAGCCUUCCCCUUCGGGGGACAAAGUGACAGGUGGUGCAUGGUUGUCGUCAGCUCGUGUCGUGAGAUGUUGGGUUAAGUCCCGCAACGAGCGCAACCCUUAAGCUUAGUUGCCAUCAUUAAGUUGGGCACUCUAAGUUGACUGCCGGUGACAAACC
RNAcentral lists this ribosomal RNA (1175 nucleotides) under Staphylococcus aureus. RNAcentral's name for it is "bacterial SSU rRNA". It matches the Rfam family "Bacterial small subunit ribosomal RNA", at positions 8 to 1164 of the family's 1533-position model. RNAcentral also lists the same sequence under 2 other names. The record is from RNAcentral. Lineage: Bacteria; Bacillati; Bacillota; Bacilli; Caryophanales; Staphylococcaceae.